RNAcentral lists this ribosomal RNA (496 nucleotides) under uncultured bacterium. Its description in RNAcentral is "partial 16S ribosomal RNA". It matches the Rfam family "Bacterial small subunit ribosomal RNA", at positions 28 to 507 of the family's 1533-position model. The record is from RNAcentral.
GACGAACGCUGGCGGCGUGCCUAAUACAUGCAAGUAGAACGCUGAAGAGAGGAGCUUGCUCUUCUUGGAUGAGUUGCGAACGGGUGAGUAACGCGUAGGUAACCUGCCUUGUAGCGGGGGAUAACUAUUGGAAACGAUAGCUAAUACCGCAUAACAAUGGAUGACACAUGUCAUUUAUUUGAAAGGGGCAAUUGCUCCACUACAAGAUGGACCUGCGUUGUAUUAGCUAGUAGGUGAGGUAAUGGCUCACCUAGGCGACGAUACAUAGCCGACCUGAGAGGGUGAUCGGCCACACUGGGACUGAGACACGGCCCAGACUCCUACGGGAGGCAGCAGUAGGGAAUCUUCGGCAAUGGGGGCAACCCUGACCGAGCAACGCCGCGUGAGUGAAGAAGGUUUUCGGAUCGUAAAGCUCUGUUGUAAGUCAAGAACGGGUGUGAGAGUGGAAAGUUCACACUGUGACGGUAGCUACCAGAAAGGGACGGCUAACUACGUG